This 73-nucleotide transfer RNA is filed under the name Vicugna pacos (alpaca). RNAcentral describes it as "tRNA-Ala (AGC) (tRNA-Ala-AGC-115-1, tRNA-Ala-AGC-115-2)". It matches the Rfam family "tRNA". From Rfam's summary of the family: Transfer RNA (tRNA) molecules are approximately 80 nucleotides in length. Their secondary structure includes four short double-helical elements and three loops (D, anti-codon, and T loops). Lineage: Eukaryota; Metazoa; Chordata; Mammalia; Artiodactyla; Camelidae. The record is from RNAcentral.
GGAGGGUAUAGCUCAGUGGUAGAGUGUAUGCUUAGCAUGCAUGAGGUCCUGGGUUCAAUCCCCAGUACCUCCA